RNAcentral lists this long non-coding RNA (297 nucleotides) under Nicotiana benthamiana. Its description in RNAcentral is "long non-coding RNA (NBEN_LNC003620)". Lineage: Eukaryota; Viridiplantae; Streptophyta; Magnoliopsida; Solanales; Solanaceae. The record is from RNAcentral.
AAUUCUUUAAACAUUGUGAAAAGACAAGAUAUCUAGCAUUUUGUUUCUCUUAACUUGGACAUUAUGGAUUUGUAAAUUCAACCACUUGUACAAGUCUCUCUGGACAUUCGGGUUACUACUUGCAAGUUGCAACACUUAUGCUCUCUCUUAUUUAUGCUUUCUAAUGAAUAUUUCUUUUUCCUUUCGCAAGAUUGCUUACUACUUACGAGCUACGACACUUGUGCUCUCUCUUAUUUAUGCUUUCUAAAUGAAUAUUCCUUUUUCCUCUCGCAAGAUUGUUUUUAUUCUAUUUAUGUA